Molecule: ribosomal RNA, 387 nt
Filed under: uncultured bacterium
Lineage: Bacteria
Description: bacterial SSU rRNA
Rfam family: Bacterial small subunit ribosomal RNA
Source: RNAcentral
AUUGAACGCUGGCGGCAUGCUUUACACAUGCAAGUCGAACGGUAACAGGCCUUCGGGUGCUGACGAGUGGCGAACGGGUGAGUAAUGCAUCGGAACAUACCCAGUCGUGGGGGAUAACGUAGCGAAAGUUACGCUAAUACCGCAUACGUCCUGAGGGAGAAAGCGGGGGAUCGCAAGACCUCGCGCGAUUGGAGUGGCCGAUGUCAGAUUAGCUAGUUGGUGGGGUAAAGCCCACCAAGGCGACGAUCUGUAGCGGGUCUGAGAGGAUGAUCCGCCACACUGGGACUGAGACACGGCCCAGACUCCUACGGGAGGCAGCAGUGGGGAAUUUUGGACAAUGGGGGAAACCCUGAUCCAGCCAUGCCGCGUGCGGGAAGAAGGCCUCGG